UACGUAGGUGGCAAGCGUUGUCCGGAAUUAUUGGGCGUAAAGCGCGCGCAGGUGGUUUCUUAAGUCUGAUGUGAAAGCCCACGGCUCAACCGUGGAGGGUCAUUGGAAACUGGGGAACUUGAGUGCAGGAGAGAAGAGUGGAAUUCCACGUGUAGCGGUGAAAUGCGUAGAGAUGUGGAGGAACACCAGUGGCGAAGGCGACUCUUUGGAACGCAACUGACGCUGAGACGCGAAAGCGUGGGGAGCAAACAGG
This 253-nucleotide ribosomal RNA is filed under the name uncultured bacterium. Its description in RNAcentral is "partial 16S ribosomal RNA". It matches the Rfam family "Bacterial small subunit ribosomal RNA", at positions 524 to 776 of the family's 1533-position model. The record is from RNAcentral.